CGUCGAUGUGGUCAGCGGCGGCGCCGGCCGUGUUCCCGCCGCGGCGGUGGGGCUGUCGGUGCUGUUCGUGGUGGCGGUGGCCGC
RNAcentral lists this transfer RNA (84 nucleotides) under Mycolicibacterium hassiacum DSM 44199. Its description in RNAcentral is "tRNA-Gly(ccc)". Lineage: Bacteria; Bacillati; Actinomycetota; Actinomycetes; Mycobacteriales; Mycobacteriaceae. The record is from RNAcentral.